UACGGAGGAGGCAAGCGUUAUCCGGAAUUACUGGGCGUAAAGAGCUCGUAGGUGGUUUGUCGCGUUGUUCGUGAAAACUCACAGCUUAACUGUGGGCGUGCGGGCGAUACGGGCAGACUGGAGUACUGCAGGGGAGACUGGAAUUCCUGGUGUAGCGGUGGAAUGCGCAGAUAUCAGGAGGAACACCGGUGGCGAAGGCGGGUCUCUGGGCAGUAACUGACGCUGAGGAGCGAAAGCGUGGGGAGCGAACAGG
This 253-nucleotide ribosomal RNA is filed under the name uncultured bacterium. Its description in RNAcentral is "partial 16S ribosomal RNA". It matches the Rfam family "Bacterial small subunit ribosomal RNA", at positions 524 to 776 of the family's 1533-position model. The record is from RNAcentral.